RNAcentral lists this ribosomal RNA (253 nucleotides) under uncultured bacterium. Its description in RNAcentral is "partial 16S ribosomal RNA". It matches the Rfam family "Bacterial small subunit ribosomal RNA", at positions 524 to 776 of the family's 1533-position model. The record is from RNAcentral.
UACAGAGGUCUCAAGCGUUGUUCGGAUUCAUUGGGCGUAAAGGGCGCGUAGGCGGCGAGGUAAGUCGGGUGUGAAAUCUCAGAGCUCAACUCUGAAACUGCACUCGAUACUGCUUUGCUAGAGGACUGGAGAGGAGAUUGGAAUUCACGGUGUAGCAGUGAAAUGCGUAGAUAUCGUGAGGAAGACCAGUGGCGAAGGCGGAUCUCUGGAGAGUUCCUGACGCUGAGGCACGAAGGCCAGGGGAGCAAACGGG